CCUACGGGGUGCUGCAGUGGGGAAUAUUGGACAAUGGGCGAAAGCCUGAUCCAGCCAUGCCGCGUGUGUGAAGAAGGCCUUCGGGUUGUAAAGCACUUUCAGUGGGGAAGAAAGCCUUGGGGCUAAUACCCUCGAGGAAGGACAUCACCCACAGAAGAAGCACCGGCUAACUCCGUGCCAGCAGCCGCGGUAAUACGGAGGGUGCGAGCGUUAAUCGGAAUUACUGGGCGUAAAGCGCGCGUAGGCGGUCUGAUAAGCCGGUUGUGAAAGCCCCGGGCUCAACCUGGGAACGGCAUCCGGAACUGGCAGGCUAGAGUGCAGGAGAGGAAGGUAGAAUUCCCGGUGUAGCAGUGAAAUGCGUAGAGAUCGGGAGGAAUACCAGUGGCGAAGGCGGCCUUCUGGACUGACACUGACGCUGAGGUGCGAAAGUGUGGGUAGCAAACAGGAUUAGAUACCCUUGUAGUC
Molecule: ribosomal RNA, 465 nt
Filed under: Vreelandella stevensii
Lineage: Bacteria; Pseudomonadati; Pseudomonadota; Gammaproteobacteria; Oceanospirillales; Halomonadaceae
Description: partial 16S ribosomal RNA
Rfam family: Bacterial small subunit ribosomal RNA
Source: RNAcentral